CGGCUGGCUGACGAGGCGGGUGUGCCACGGCGGCGGCGAGGGAAGCAGCAUCCACCGCGCCAGUUCGCGGAGCCUCGACCCUCCCUUCGAAACAAGGCCAAGCAGCAGUUCGGCCUCACACCCUCGACGGCCGGCUCAGCGGACACUCCGGCGACGGCGUGAGGGAAGGGCGUGAAGGCGGUCACCUUGACUCGAGUGAUUUCACCGACCCUUGAUGAAGAUCCUGAGGCAGUGCAAGAGGAGGUGGGCAGCUUGUGACACACUAAAAUGAUGCACCCCGGAGCUCUUGUGGAUGUACCUUGAGGCUCCAGCUGCCAAGGAAUGGAGUAAUGAAGGAAGUGGAAAUGAGAUGUUGGAGAGCAAUAUAGGGAGAGACAAGAAUGGCAAUGCAGGGAACAUCAGCGGUGGACAAGAACAUGAGCAAAAGGAACAUCUGAAGCUUGGUGUAUGCAUCCUGUGCAGGCCUCACAACAAACAGAAAAGACUGUUAAGAAACUGAAAGCAGAUGCAGCAGCCUUCAGCGGGACUCGUGUGCUGGCCAGUAUGGAGAGAUGCCUUGCAAGGGGCGGAGGGGAGAUCCUGCCUUCACCUGAACUUCAUGCCUGUCAGGAAGAAAAAUAUGAAUUUAACAAUUCGUCUAAGUCUUAAAACUCAAUAAGCUGUGUGGCUUGUGAUUGAAGGCAGUUCAGUUUUCUGCUUCCAAUACUAAAGGUUAAUAUGAAUAUAACUUUUACUAUGAAGUGCUCAACACCAAUCAUCUGUAACAAUGAAAUCCCAGUAAUGAAAAGGACUAAUCCAUAUUGAUGUAGUGACCUGCCUGAUGUUGAAAGUCCCCCACAACCCAAUUUUCUUUCAAUAGUGGCCAGCUGGUUAGUGGAGUGACUUCCCAUUUGGCUGGUCACGGGCUCAAUCCAGGUGAUAACAUUUGUUUCUCCCUUUACUGGCCUGGAAAAGUUGAAUUUUGUCUCGAAUUCCACUUCCCACAUCUUCCACAUGACCUCUAUAUGUCACAAAACACAGGAGAAACUAUUCCAGACCAAGAAAGGAGGAACAAAUGUUACCGUCACCGGGCAUCAAACCUGUAACCAGCCGGAUGGGAAGCCAGUCUGCCCAAAGAUUUGCCCCACUGAGUGAGUGGGUUUUGGGGGGCUUUCCUCAUCAAGAAUCUAUUAGCCGUAAUAAACCUCAAACUAAUAUACCCCUUGCCAACACAAGCUUACUUAUGAAGUGUCUGUGAUUUAACAUUCUUUGAUAUAUGAUGAACAGGACAUCACUUGAGGCAAAAGUUUCUUAUUGUGACAAUAAAUGAUUGGUCCUGCCAAUACAUUUUGUGAAUACAUGCUA
Molecule: long non-coding RNA, 1344 nt
Organism: Eriocheir sinensis (Chinese mitten crab)
Lineage: Eukaryota; Metazoa; Arthropoda; Malacostraca; Decapoda; Varunidae
Exons: 5
Source: RefSeq, a predicted model, not a curated record